GAUGAAGAACGCAGCGAAAUGCGAUAAGUAGUGUGAAUUGCAGAAUUCAGUGAAUCAUCGAAUCUUUGAACGCACAUUGCGCCCUUUGGUAUUCCAAAGGGCAUGCCUGUUCGAGCGUCAUUUGUACCCUCAAGCUUUGCUUGGUGUUGGGCGUCUUGUCUCUAGCUUUGCUGGAGACUCGCCUUAAAGUAAUUGGCAGCCGGCCUACUGGUUUCGGAGCGCAGCACAAGUCGCACUCUCUAUCAGCAAAGGUCUAGCAUCCAUUAAGCCUUUUUUUCAACUUUUGACCUCGGAUCAGGUAGGGAUACCCGCUGAACCUAAGCAUAUCAAUAAGCGGAGGA
This 341-nucleotide unclassified non-coding RNA is filed under the name soil metagenome. Its description in RNAcentral is "partial contains 5.8S ribosomal RNA, internal transcribed spacer 2, and large subunit ribosomal RNA". The stretch from base 1 to 120 matches the Rfam family "5.8S ribosomal RNA", at positions 35 to 154 of the family's 154-position model. The record is from RNAcentral.